CUCACUUUUCACUUUCAUGCAUUGGAGAAGGAAAUGGCAACCCACUCCAGUGUUCUUGCCUGGAGAAUCCCAGGGACGGGGGAGCCUGGUGGGCUGCCGUCUAUGGGGUUGCACAGGGUCGGACACGACUGAAGCGACUUAGCAGCAGCAGCAUAGUGUCCUCCACAUAAAAAACAAAAACAAAAAACCAAAAAGCUUCUUAUCCUAGAAAUUUUAAGCUUCGCAACAUGAAGAAAUACAGGGCUUCUUUCCUUGACACGCUGUCUUACAGUCAAAGCGCUGUCUACAGUUCCUUUCAAGACUUCAGAAACUCGAGAACUACUCGGAAUGUGAGCGGACGGGGCAGGAGUGAAGUGAAGGAGAGUAAAAUGGUGGGGAUGAUGCCAGCACUGAAUUCUCGAGUCACGUUACUGAACAUAGUGCAGAAGGAGCAGGAGCCGUUGUCUGUGCUGUGCUUCUGGGGACUCAGAGACAUGCUGGGCCAGUCUUUUUGGCUGUGGGUCUUAACCUCAUAGAAUCCAUUUUGUCAUCUGUAACAUCGGUAUGAUAACAUGUACCUCACAGUACCGCAGUGAUAAUUCAAUGAAAUAAUGUCUACAACGUGCUCAAUGCAAUAAAUGCCACAUCACAGGGGCUUAUAGCUAGAUG
Molecule: long non-coding RNA, 648 nt
Filed under: Bos indicus x Bos taurus (hybrid cattle)
Lineage: Eukaryota; Metazoa; Chordata; Mammalia; Artiodactyla; Bovidae
Description: lncRNA (ENSBIXG00005028354.1)
Source: RNAcentral